AGUGAACGCUGGCGGUAGGCCUAACACAUGCAAGUCGAACGGCAGCACAGUAAGAGCUUGCUCUUACGGGUGGCGAGUGGCGGACGGGUGAGGAAUACAUCGGAAUCUACUUUUUCGUGGGGGAUAACGUAGGGAAACUUACGCUAAUACCGCAUACGACCUACGGGUGAAAGCAGGGGAUCUUCGGACCUUGCGCGAUUGAAUGAGCCGAUGUCGGAUUAGCUAGUUGGCGGGGUAAAGGCCCACCAAGGCGACGAUCCGUAGCUGGUCUGAGAGGAUGAUCAGCCACACUGGAACUGAGACACGGUCCAGACUCCUACGGGAGGCAGCAGUGGGGAAUAUUGGACAAUGGGCGCAAGCCUGAUCCAGCCAUAUCGCGUGGGUGAAGAAGGCCUUCGGGUUGUAAAGCCCUUUUGUUGGGAAAGAAAAGCAGCAGGUUAAUACCCCGCUGUUCUGACGGUACCCAAGGAAUAAGCACCGGCUAACUUCG
RNAcentral lists this ribosomal RNA (490 nucleotides) under uncultured bacterium. RNAcentral describes it as "partial 16S ribosomal RNA". It matches the Rfam family "Bacterial small subunit ribosomal RNA", at positions 29 to 505 of the family's 1533-position model. The record is from RNAcentral.